GACGAACGCUGGCGGCGUGCUUAACACAUGCAAGUCGAGCGGUAAGGCCAUUCGGGGUCCACGCGCGGCGAACGGGCGAGUGACACGUGGAUGAUUUGACAUGCACUUCGGGAUAAGCCUGGGAAACUGGGUCUAAUACCGGAUAUGACCUCCUAUCGCAUGGUGGGUGGUGGCAAGAUUUAUCGGUGCAGGUUGGGCCAGCGGCCUAUCAGCUUGCUGGUGGGGUACUGGCCUACGAAGGCGACGACGGGUAGCCGACCUGAGAGGGUGACCGGCCACACUGGGACUGAGGGAGGGCCCAGUAGCCAACGUGACGCAGCAGUGGGGAAUAUUGCGCAAUAGGCGAGAGCCAGAUGCGGCGACGCCGCGUGAGGAAUGACCUCCUUCGGGUUGUGAACCUCUUUCUACAUAAACGAAGCGCAAGUGACGGUACCUGCAGAGAAAGCACCGGCUAACUACGUG
Molecule: ribosomal RNA, 462 nt
Filed under: uncultured bacterium
Lineage: Bacteria
Description: partial 16S ribosomal RNA
Rfam family: Bacterial small subunit ribosomal RNA
Source: RNAcentral